RNAcentral lists this ribosomal RNA (608 nucleotides) under uncultured fungus. RNAcentral's name for it is "eukaryotic LSU rRNA". The stretch from base 201 to 354 matches the Rfam family "5.8S ribosomal RNA". The record is from RNAcentral. Lineage: Eukaryota; Fungi.
UCCGUAGGUGAACCUGCGGAGGGAUCAUUACAGAGUUCAUGCCCCUUACGGGUAGUUCUCCCACCCUAUGUUAUCAUUACCUUUGUUGCUUUGGCGGGCCGCCAGGCCCUGGUCAGGCUACCGGCUCCGGCUGGUAAGCGCCCGCCAGAGGACCCCAAACGCUGAAUGUUAGUGUUGUCUGAGUAUUAUAUAAUAGUUAAAACUUUCAACAACGGAUCUCUUGGUUCUGGCAUCGAUGAAGAACGCAGCGAAAUGCGAUAAGUAAUGUGAAUUGCAGAAUUUAGUGAAUCAUCGAAUCUUUGAACGCACAUUGCGCCCCUUGGUAUUCCGAGGGGCAUGCCUGUUCGAGCGUCAUUACAACCCUCAAGCAAUGCUUGGUAUUGGGCUUCGCUGCUCACGUAGCGGGCCUUAAAAUCAGUGGCGGUGCCGUCGGGCCCUGAGCGCAGUAAAUAUCCUCGCUACAGGGACUCGGUGGACGCUGGCCAUCAACCCCCCCACCUCCUCUCAGUUUGAUCCCUCGGAUCAGGUAGGGAUACCCGCUGAACUUAAGCAUAUCAAUAAGGCGGGAGGGGAAGGUCGGACUGGCCAAGGGCACACAGGGGGGGAUA